AAGCGAAACCCUGUUUCAUUACAGGGUCUACCCAAUGUGGUUAUUGGGUACUGAUGAGCAGCCUUUG
This 67-nucleotide non-coding RNA is filed under the name Colwellia sp. 39_35_sub15_T18. Lineage: Bacteria; Pseudomonadati; Pseudomonadota; Gammaproteobacteria; Alteromonadales; Colwelliaceae. The record is from RNAcentral.